GAGUUUGAUUUAGGGUUUAGGAUUUGAUUAGGGUUUGUUUUAGGGUUUAGGAUUUGAUUUAGGAUUUAGUUAGGAUUUGAUUUAGGAUUUGGUUGGAAUUUGGUUUAGGGUUUGUUUAGGAUUUGUUUAAGGUUUGGUUUAGGAUUUGGUUUAGGGUUUAGGAUUUGGUAAAGAUUUGAUUUAGGAUUAGGAUUUGGUUUAGGAUUUAGAAUUUAGUUAGGAUUCAUUUAGGAUAUAGGAUUUGGUUUAAGAUUUGAUUAGGAUUAAGUUUAGGGUUUAGGAUUUGGUUUAGGAUUUAAGAUUUGGUUUAGGAUUUAAGAUUUUAUUAGUGUUUGUAUAGGGUUUAAGAUUUAAUUAGUUUUGGCCUAAAGUUUGAAUGAAGUCUAAUAGGAAUUUAACUAGGAUUAAAUUAAGAUUUAAUUGAGAUGUAUUUGAAAGAUAUUUGUGAUCAUUUUUAUAUUUCUUUAAGAUUUUUUAUUAUUUUCUUUGAAGUUUCUUUGAAUUUGAUUAAAGCUUUCUUAGUAUUAUUAUGGUCUAAUUAGAGUUUAGUUAGUAUUCUAUUAUAGUUAGGAUUUUUUUGUUGCAAUUU
Molecule: long non-coding RNA, 589 nt
Filed under: Physcomitrium patens
Lineage: Eukaryota; Viridiplantae; Streptophyta; Bryopsida; Funariales; Funariaceae
Description: long non-coding RNA (PPAT_LNC009466)
Source: RNAcentral